Molecule: ribosomal RNA, 349 nt
Filed under: uncultured bacterium
Lineage: Bacteria
Description: bacterial SSU rRNA
Rfam family: Bacterial small subunit ribosomal RNA (bases 86-337)
Source: RNAcentral
UACGCUGGCGGUAGCUACCAUGGCAGUAGAACGGUAACGGACCGCUCGGAUCCCUAUCGGGGUGACCUUGGUGUGACGAGUGGCAGGACGGGUGAGUAACACGUACGAAUCUGCCCAACAGAGGGGGACAACCCGGUAGAAAUCCGGGCUAAUACCGCAUAUGCCCUACGGGGGAAAGCGGGGGAUCUACGGACCUCGUGCUGUUGGAGGAGCCCUGCGUCGGAUUUAGCUUGUUGGUGAGGUAACGGGUCAGCAAUGGACGAGGAUCCGUAAGCUUGCCUGAGAGGACGAACCAGCCCGCUGGGGACUGAGAACCGGGCCAGACUCCCUACGGGGACGGCAGGAGUGG